This 406-nucleotide ribosomal RNA is filed under the name uncultured bacterium. Its description in RNAcentral is "partial 16S ribosomal RNA". It matches the Rfam family "Bacterial small subunit ribosomal RNA", at positions 30 to 526 of the family's 1533-position model. The record is from RNAcentral.
AUUGAACGCUGGCGGCAGGCCUAACACAUGCAAGUCGAACGAGUGGCGGACGGGUGAGUAAUGUCUGGGAAACUGCCUGAUGGAGGGGGAUAACUACUGGAAACGGUAGCUAAUACCGCAUACCAUCAGAUUUGCCCAGAUGGGAUUAGCUUGUUGGUGGGGUAACGGCUCACCAGGGCGACGAUCCCUAGCUGGUCUGAGAGGAUGACCAGCAAAAUUGGAAAUGAGACACGGUCCAGACCCCUACGGGAGGCAGCAGUGGGGAAUAUUGCACAAUGGGCGAAAGCCGGAUGCAGCAAGGCGGCGUGUAUGAAGAAGGCCUUCGGGUGGUAAAGUACUUUCAGCGGGGAGGCGUUACCCGCAGAAGAAGCAACGGCUAACUCCGUGCCAGCAGCCGCGGUAAUUC